This 459-nucleotide ribosomal RNA is filed under the name Veillonella parvula. Its description in RNAcentral is "bacterial SSU rRNA". It matches the Rfam family "Bacterial small subunit ribosomal RNA", at positions 28 to 464 of the family's 1533-position model. Lineage: Bacteria; Bacillati; Bacillota; Negativicutes; Veillonellales; Veillonellaceae. The record is from RNAcentral.
GACGAACGCUGGCGGCGUGCUUAACACAUGCAAGUCGAACGAAGAGCGAUGGAAGCUUGCUUCUAUCAAUCUUAGUGGCGAACGGGUGAGUAACGCGUAAUCAACCUGCCCUUCAGAGGGGGACAACAGUUGGAAACGACUGCUAAUACCGCAUACGAUCUAAUCUCAGCAUCGAGGAUAGAUGAAAGGUGGCCUCUACAUGUAAGCUAUCACUGAAGGAGGGGAUUGCGUUUGAUUAGCUAGUUGGAGGGGUAACGGCCCACCAAGGCGAUGAUCAGUAGCCGGUCUGAGAGGAUGAACGGCCACAUUGGGACUGAGACACGGCCCAGACUCCUACGGGAGGCAGCAGUGGGGAAUCUUCCGCAAUGGACGAAAGUCUGACGGAGCAACGCCGCGUGAGUGAUGACGGCCUUCGGGUUGUAAAGCUCUGUUAAUCGGGACGAAAGGCCUUCUUGCGAA